AGCAGCCGCGGUAAUUCCAGCUCCAAUAGCGUAUAUUAAAGUUGUUGCAGUUAAAAAGCUCGUAGUUGAAUUUCGGGAUCAAAUUGUCGGUCGUGCCUCGGUACGCACUGGUAUUAUUGGUUCCUACCUUCUGAAGAGCCGCGAUGUCAUUAAUUUGGUGUCGUGGGGAAUCAGGACUGUUACUUUGAAAAAAUUAGGUGUUUAAAGCAGGCUUACGCUUGAAUACAUUAGCAUGGAAUAAUGAAAUAGGACGUUUGAUUCUAUCUUGUUGGUUUUCUAGGAUUGACGUAAUGAUUAAUAGGGAUAGUUGGGGGCAUUAGUAUUCAAUUGUCAGAGGUGAAAUUCUUGGAUUUAUUGAAGACUAACUACUGCGAAAGCAUUUGCCAAGGAUGUUUUCAUUAAUCAAGAACGAAAGUUAGGGGAUCGAAGACGAUCAGAUACCGUCGUAGUCUUAACCAUAAACUAUGCCGACUAGGGAUCGGAUGAUGUUAAUUUUUUAAUGACUCGUUCGGCGCCUUAC
This 520-nucleotide ribosomal RNA is filed under the name uncultured Glomus. Its description in RNAcentral is "SSU rRNA". It matches the Rfam family "Eukaryotic small subunit ribosomal RNA", at positions 569 to 1091 of the family's 1831-position model. The record is from RNAcentral. Lineage: Eukaryota; Fungi; Glomeromycota; Glomeromycetes; Glomerales; Glomeraceae.